AAAACCUUCCAUUUCGGCACAAUGGUUCAAUAAGGAGUCAAACUUGGAACUCUAAGGAACAACAUGAAUAUCUUGAAUAUCUUUUUAAUUUGCCUAGCGGUUUAUUUACCACCCCUUGAGUGGACUAAAAAAUAAAAUAAAUAACCGGUGAUUAAUAUGUGAAUACAGGUUAAUAAAAAUCCUCUUGGUUUUUUUAAAUCGAAAUGGAUAGAACAUUUUAA
Non-coding RNA from Drosophila takahashii, 221 nucleotides. Lineage: Eukaryota; Metazoa; Arthropoda; Insecta; Diptera; Drosophilidae. The record is from RefSeq and is a predicted model, not a curated record.